GACGAACCGUGCGAACGUUAUUCGGAAUCACUGGGCUUAAAGCGUGCGCAGGCGGUUCGUUGUGUCGGCGGUGAAAGCCCCGGGCUUAACCUGGGAAUGGCCGUUGAAACUGGCGAACUGGAGUGUGGCAGAGGGGGGUGGAAUUCCGCGUGUAGCAGUGAAAUGCGUAGAGAUGCGGAGGAACACCGAUGGCGAAGGCAGCCCCCUGGGCUAACACUGACGCUCAGGCACGAAAGCGUGGGGAGCAAACAGG
RNAcentral lists this ribosomal RNA (253 nucleotides) under uncultured bacterium. RNAcentral's name for it is "partial 16S ribosomal RNA". It matches the Rfam family "Bacterial small subunit ribosomal RNA", at positions 524 to 776 of the family's 1533-position model. The record is from RNAcentral.